GGGUGUGAUCAUACCAGCAGUAAUGCAUAGGUUCCCGUCAUAACCCCGUACUGAAGGGUGCUUGCGGGAUAGUAGUACUAUUAUGGGUGACCUUCUGGGAAGUCCUCGUGUUGCACCUC
Molecule: non-coding RNA, 119 nt
Organism: Gossypium hirsutum (cotton)
Lineage: Eukaryota; Viridiplantae; Streptophyta; Magnoliopsida; Malvales; Malvaceae
Source: Rfam